Molecule: transfer-messenger RNA, 246 nt
Filed under: Actinomycetota bacterium
Lineage: Bacteria; Bacillati; Actinomycetota
Description: partial transfer-messenger RNA
Rfam family: transfer-messenger RNA
About the family: Bacterial tmRNA, also known as 10Sa RNA or SsrA, is named for its dual tRNA and mRNA-like properties. Its role is to liberate the mRNA from a stalled ribosome. To accomplish this part of the tmRNA is used as a reading frame that ends in a translation stop signal.
Source: RNAcentral
GGGGGUGCAUGGUUUCGACUUCGGUCGUCGAGAUGGGUGAAGCGAGCCGUGGUUUCCGGAGCCACGUAAAAGAGCCGGAAAAAAACAAAUAAACGCCAACGCUAACGCGUUUGCAGUCGCUGCCUAACUAGCAGUGUCCGUCCGCCCGGUCUCAGCCCUAUGGACCGGAACCGGGCGUCAUCAAGUAGGGCUUACCGGUUGAGCCUCGUCAGCGGGCUCCAGCGGGAAAUCUCAGCUGACUGGGGC